AUCUCCUGAAGCAAGAGGUGAUAUUCAAUGUGGUCCGCCUGGCUGCCACCAUCAUCAUCUGUAUCGGGUUUCUUCUGAUGCUACUGCCGGAGGAGUGGGAUGAAAUUACUCUGAGAUUUAUCAACAGCCUGAAGGAGAAGAAGAGCGAGGAGCAUGUGGAAGACUUGACAGAUGUGAGUGUGCACCUGAGGAGCAGAAGCAGGGUCAACGGGACAGUGUCCCUACCGCUGGCUUGAACAGAAACGACCCCUGGAUGCACGUGUGUGUAUAUUCUGUGAAUAUAAAAUUUUCUCACUACCUGUACAUUCAAAUGACACUAUCAACUCCGAGUUUAAAUAAACCAUAUGUGAAAUAUCACCAAGAAUAAAAGUUUACAUUUAUAUGCAUAUCAAGGAACUGAUGUAAAUAAUCAUAAUAAAAUUUUUUACUAAAA
This 433-nucleotide long non-coding RNA is filed under the name Rattus norvegicus (Norway rat). RNAcentral describes it as "long non-coding RNA NONRATT010814". The record is from RNAcentral. Lineage: Eukaryota; Metazoa; Chordata; Mammalia; Rodentia; Muridae.